GAACGGACGAGAAGCUUGCUUUUCUGAUGUUAGCGGCGGACGGGUGAGUAACACGUGGAUAACCUACCUAUAAGACUGGGAUAACUUCGGGAAACCAGAGCUAAUACCGGAUAAUAUUUUGAACCGCAUGGUUCAAAAGUGAAAGACGGUCUUGCUGUCACUUAUAGAUGGAUCCGCGCUGCAUUAGCUAGUUGGUAAGGUAACGGCUUACCAAGGCAACGAUGCAUAGCCGACCUGAGAGGGUGAUCGGCCACACUGGAACUGAGACUCGGUCCAGACUCCUACGGGAGGCAGCAGUAGGGAAUCUUCCGCAAUAGGCGAAAGCCUGACGGAGCAACGCCGCGUGAGUGAUGAAGGUCUUCGGAUCGUAAAACCCUGUUAUUAGGGAAGAACAUAUGUGUAAGUAACUGUGCACAUCUUGACGGUACCUAAUCAGAAAGCCACGGCUAACUACGUGCCAGCAGCCGCGGUAAUACGUAGGUGGCAAGCGUUAUCCGGAAUUAUUGGGCGUAAAGCGCGCGUAGGCGGUUUUUUAAGUCUGAUGUGAAAGCCCACGGCUCAACCGUGGAGGGUCAUUGGAAACUGGAAAACUUGAGUGCAGAAGAGGAAAGUGGAAUUCCAUGUGUAGCGGUGAAAUGCGCAGAGAUAUGGAGGAACACCAGUGGCGAAGGCGACUUUCUGGUCUGUAACUGACGC
This 696-nucleotide ribosomal RNA is filed under the name uncultured Staphylococcus sp. Its description in RNAcentral is "bacterial SSU rRNA". It matches the Rfam family "Bacterial small subunit ribosomal RNA", at positions 64 to 746 of the family's 1533-position model. The record is from RNAcentral. Lineage: Bacteria; Bacillati; Bacillota; Bacilli; Caryophanales; Staphylococcaceae.